CACUUUAUAGUUUAUUAUAAAAUCUUGAGUUGCAGGCUCGGGGAAGGGUUGUCCCUAAAGUGU
This 63-nucleotide transfer RNA is filed under the name Arctica islandica. RNAcentral describes it as "tRNA-Cys". The record is from RNAcentral. Lineage: Eukaryota; Metazoa; Mollusca; Bivalvia; Venerida; Arcticidae.